RNAcentral lists this ribosomal RNA (643 nucleotides) under uncultured Stemonitidae. Its description in RNAcentral is "bacterial SSU rRNA". It matches the Rfam family "Eukaryotic small subunit ribosomal RNA", at positions 27 to 555 of the family's 1831-position model. The record is from RNAcentral. Lineage: Eukaryota; Evosea; Eumycetozoa; Stemonitida.
UACGCUUUUUCUAAAGUCUAAGCCAUGCAUGCCUAAGCCUAGGAGGUAGUAAUACUCUCUGAAUCUGCGAACGGCUCCGCACACCAGUUGUAAACCACAGCAAGAUACCCUGGGUAGCAGCUGCAUUGCUUCGGCAGUGUGGUGUUAGCUUCCAGGGCACACGGAUAGCCGUGGUAAUUCUGCAGCUAAUACGUUAAUUGCCCCCUUCAGUGCUAUCAGGGGCAGGGUUCUCACGGGCCCUGCUCACGCACUGAGGGACGGUGUAGUACUUAGGCUUGGUCUUAUCAUGGAAGGACUGCACUCGUCGGACUGCCAUACAAACCCAACCUGUUACAGCCUGAGCGGGCCUUCGGGCUUAGCAACGGCCACGCUUGUUGGGGGCAGCGCUUGGCUGGUGCUUCUGACCUAUCAACUAUACAGCAGCCUAAAGGACAUGCUAUGGUUUCUACGGGUACAGAGGAUUAGGGUUCGAUCCUGGAGAGUGGGCCUGAGAGAUUGCUCACACUUCUAAGGAAGGCAGCAGGCGCGCAACGUUCCCCUUGUGCAAAGCACGAGGGCGUUAGGGGAAAUAUGAAUAGCUGCCUUAGGGUGGCUAAUUCAAAUGGGUCUGUCGUAAACAGGCUCUCGAGUAACAAUUAGAGGA